Molecule: ribosomal RNA, 109 nt
Organism: Bison bison bison
Lineage: Eukaryota; Metazoa; Chordata; Mammalia; Artiodactyla; Bovidae
Source: Ensembl
GUCCAUGGCCAUACCACCCUGAAAGCACCCAAUCUUGUCUGAUCUCAGAAGCUAAGCAGGGUCAGGCCUGCUUAGUACUUGGGUUGGAGAAUAUCCUUUGCUUAAAACA